This 216-nucleotide ribosomal RNA is filed under the name Glomeromycotina sp. Its description in RNAcentral is "partial small subunit ribosomal RNA". The stretch from base 44 to 216 matches the Rfam family "Eukaryotic small subunit ribosomal RNA", at positions 690 to 864 of the family's 1831-position model. Lineage: Eukaryota; Fungi; Glomeromycota. The record is from RNAcentral.
GGGUAAGUAGGUUGGUCGUGCCACCGGUACGUACUGGUCUCACUGAUUCCUCCUUCCUGAAGAACCGUAAUGCCAUUAAUUUGGUGUUGCGGGGAAACAGGACUGUUACUUCGAAAAAAUUAGAGUGUUUAAAGCAAGCUAACGCUUGAAUACAUCAGCAUGGAAUAAUGAAAUAGGACGAUCGAUCCUAUUUUGUUGGUUUCUAGGAUUGACGUA